RNAcentral lists this ribosomal RNA (607 nucleotides) under Didymium melanospermum. Its description in RNAcentral is "SSU rRNA". It matches the Rfam family "Eukaryotic small subunit ribosomal RNA", at positions 5 to 561 of the family's 1831-position model. Lineage: Eukaryota; Evosea; Eumycetozoa; Physariida; Didymiaceae. The record is from RNAcentral.
UGGUUGAUCCUGCCAGUAGUGUAUGCUUCUCCUAAAGACUAAGCCAUGCAUGCCUUCGAAUAAGAGGAAGCAAUUCUCUCUGAAUCUGCGAACGGCUCCGCAAACCAGUUGUAAACUAUAGCAAGCAAGCCUUGUGCCUGCCUUCACGGGUGGGCGCUUGGCGAUAUGGAUAACCCUGGUAAUUCUGAGGCUAAUACAAGAACGUAAAACCUGGCUGACUGCUCACGUGGAAGGCUGGGGGACGUGCGAGUUGUGUCGCGAGAAUUUUCCGGGAAUGGACGCACGUUCAGACCGCGCUAAAAAGGAUCGGUUCCCCUUCACGGGGGGGCUGGCCCCAGCGGCUCUUGCUUUGUGCUUCUGACCUAUCAACUAGAUGGCAGCGUAACGGACAUGCUAUGGUGACAACGGGUACAGAGGAUUAGGGUUUGAUCCUGGAGAGUGGGCCUGAGAGAUUGCUCAUACUUCUAAGGAAGGCAGCAGGCGCGCAACGUUCCCCUUGGGCAAAGCUUGAGGGCGUUAGGGGACAUAUGAAUGCCUGCCCUAUGGGUGGGCAAUUCAAAUGGGUCUGUUGUAAACAGGCUCUCGAGUAACAAUUAGAGGACAAGUC